AUGGCGGCGGAAACAAGUACUCAGGGAAGGCAGGGGAAGGAGACGACGGAGGAACUUCUUGCAAGACUGAAUCUGCAUGAGGAGGAGGAUGAUGCUUUUGUGUGGGAAGAGGAACUGCCGGAUCUGGAAGAGCCGGCGAAGUGGCUGGCUAUUGCCAGAGUUCAUACUACAAGAUCUUUCAGCCCUAAUGCUCUAUAUGGGGACAUGCGUGCUGCGUGGAACCCGGCGAAAUUGGUUGUUUGGAGGAAGCUAAAGGAAAACUUAUUUACGGCCCAGUUUGGAUGUUUGGGGGAUUGG
RNAcentral lists this ribosomal RNA (297 nucleotides) under Triticum aestivum (bread wheat). RNAcentral describes it as "partial small subunit ribosomal RNA". Lineage: Eukaryota; Viridiplantae; Streptophyta; Magnoliopsida; Poales; Poaceae. The record is from RNAcentral.